RNAcentral lists this long non-coding RNA (1506 nucleotides) under Anas platyrhynchos platyrhynchos (common mallard). Its description in RNAcentral is "lncRNA (ENSAPLG00000025268.1)". Lineage: Eukaryota; Metazoa; Chordata; Aves; Anseriformes; Anatidae. The record is from RNAcentral.
AUGGAAGUGUUUAAAUUCACCAGAACUCCUCCCCUAUACAUUAGAAAUGUGUGCAUCCAUUUGUCAUUAGCACUGCCAGACCCAAAUAGCAAGAGGAAAGCCAGCAUAGUCCAUUGCUUGCCUGGGCACAGGUGGGUGAUAGAGCACCCCUGGGAAACCCAAAUCUAUACCAGCACAGAAAAUACUGAAGCAACAGCUCGAUCCCAGGUAGUGUCACAGCAGCAAGGCCUGUCACUGCUCGUCUCCUGCAGAGAUCUGACAUGCAUCAGAAAGAUGAUUUCCAACACAACUUUUGUUUCAUACAAAAACCUGUUUGUGCAUCCUGUAAAAAAGCAAGGUUUCUCUAAGCUCUUCUCCAUUCUGCCUGUUAAAAAAAAGAAAAUGCUAAUAAUUGAGACAAAGAUCUCUCCAGCCACCACCUUUUGUGCUACAUGCCAUGGUACAACUUGCUCAGGAGAAGUCUCAGUUCCUGUUAUGGGAAGAGUCUCCUCCUGUUUAUUGAUCCAACUUCAAGAUGUGUUUUCUCCACAGUUGGCUCUAAAUUCCAAUAAAAAUGUACAGUCAACUAAAGCAUAGCAUAUGAGAAAAAUCUCAAAUAAUUUUCUUCAGACAGGAUCUUCUGUAAAGCUAUUUUAUUCGCAAUUGCAAUGGUGGGCAUCCUGACAAUUAGGAGUGCAUUAUAGUAAACAAACCAUAACCUUUUAUUCCCUAAUACCCAACACCUGAUCACCUCUCUGGCUGAGUACUACAUUGGCUGAGUACUACAGGUUCACAAACUACUCGACACUCCUCUAUACCAUAUAUGUACAUUUUUCCUUUUUCCUUUCAACCCUUUAAUUUCUCCCUUCUACUGUCCACUUAUCUACUUAGCAUUUCUCCUUAUUAUGACUACACAGCUACCUUGGAAUACAAAAAAGUAAUUCUCUACUGCAAAAAUACAACUUUUAGGUUCUCACAUAGCAGAAAAUGUCUUUGGUCACCUUCUCAAAGGUACAGAAAAAACAGGACCACCAUUAAAUUAGAUGACUGAAUGUGACACUAGGGAUAAGAAAUGCACAGAGGUCUAAUACCUCAGUAGUCUUUCAGGCUUUUUUGCAGGCUUACAAAGAUUUGCAAUGCUACCCGAAGUUACUUACAACACUACUCUAAUUUUCAGUCUUUAUACACUUAAGCAAAGUAUACUACAGAGGCCUACAAUGUGAUUUCUUUAAUCUUGUUUUUAUAUAUUGACUAUCCUAUAGUGCUACGGUUACUGCAAGGUGGAAAAAAAAAUCCAUUCAGAUUAUACUGGCUGCAAAACUGUACAAUUGUCAUCAUUUCCAUAGUGCAAUGGGGCAAUUUUCUUAAUACGGGACCUCAGUCCACAUGUGUACUCUGCUUAGAUGUCUGUGAUUCAAAAGGAAAAUAUUUCUACUCCUCUACACCACACAUUCUAAACCUAUUUGCUAUUCAGUAUAAUGGAAAAAAAAAAAUAAAAAAAUUCAAAGAUGAGACUUUUUGAAAAUG